Molecule: unclassified non-coding RNA, 331 nt
Filed under: Hevea brasiliensis (rubber tree)
Lineage: Eukaryota; Viridiplantae; Streptophyta; Magnoliopsida; Malpighiales; Euphorbiaceae
Source: RNAcentral
AUUGUGUCUCUAUUUGUGUGUACUGUCCAUGUGUGUACAUACAUAUAACAGAAAAACAAACAAAAAGUGAAUAUUCAAUGGGAAAAUAGUUGGUAGAUUUAAGUGAUAAAGGCAUCAUUUUUAUAAACAAGGGGGCCAAAAAGAAGUUAGGUUGGACUUGUGAAAAUGGUGAACACAAUCUAAAACAAUUUCAUGCAUGUAAUUUUAUUCAUCCAUUUUAAAGGCAUCUGCAUAUGGAUUGGCAUUAAUACAUGUAGUUGCUUACAAAUGCAAGGCCAUUCUAAAUGUUCAAAUUCUCAUCACACAUCAAAAUCAGUAAUGUAUAGAUGGU